CAUAUGAGGCAUUUAAAAACUUUGAUGCAGAGAGUAUCGUAAUUUCAUAAAAAGAUAAUUUCGGUACACGAUGUAGAAUGUUAAACCUUAUACUAGAUUUAAUGAAUAAAUUGAGACUUAUCUUUAAUUAUGUGUCAACGCACCCAUUUGUAUGAAAGUUUCAUUUAUUCCAUGGGUAGCUUGGCACACCUACAUCUACACCCUCAUAUUUUUAUUUUGGGUACCCAAGCUUGCUUGGGUCCUUGAGGGUUAGUGCAUAUGGUUACUUUUGGAACCCAAAUCUAUUUAAUAGUAAUAACUUUACCAUUUGAUUUAUUCGUAUUAGAACCAUAGGUAAAGUUUUUA
This 345-nucleotide long non-coding RNA is filed under the name Phoenix dactylifera (date palm). Its description in RNAcentral is "long non-coding RNA (PDAC_LNC017441)". The record is from RNAcentral. Lineage: Eukaryota; Viridiplantae; Streptophyta; Magnoliopsida; Arecales; Arecaceae.